AACGAACGUUAGCGGCGCGCUUAACACAUGCAAGUCGAGCGAGAAAGGGAGCAAUCCCCGGUACAGCGGCGCACGGGUGAGUAACACGUAGGUAAUCUGCCUUCGAGUGGGGGGAUAACCUUCCGAAAGGAGGGCUAAUACCGCAUAAGACCACGACUCCGAGAGGGGAUGAGGUCAAAGCCGGCCACUAUACAUAAGCUGGCGCUUGGAGAUGAGCCUGCGGCCCCAUCAGCUAGUUGGUAGGGUAAUGGCCUACCAAGGCUAAGACGGGUAGCUGGUCUGAGAGGAUGAUCAGCCACACUGGAACUGAGACACGGUCCAGACUCCUACGGGAGGCAGCAGUGGGGAAUCUUGCGCAAUGGGCGAAAGCCUGACGCAGCGACGCCGCGUGGGU
This 394-nucleotide ribosomal RNA is filed under the name uncultured bacterium. Its description in RNAcentral is "bacterial SSU rRNA". It matches the Rfam family "Bacterial small subunit ribosomal RNA", at positions 29 to 406 of the family's 1533-position model. The record is from RNAcentral.